Molecule: ribosomal RNA, 483 nt
Filed under: uncultured bacterium
Lineage: Bacteria
Description: partial 16S ribosomal RNA
Rfam family: Bacterial small subunit ribosomal RNA
Source: RNAcentral
GACGAACGCUGGCGGCGUGCUUAACACAUGCAAGUCGAACGCUGAAGCUCAGCUUUUGUUGGGUGGAUGAGUGGCGAACGGGUGAGUAACACGCGAGUAACCUGCCUCCUUCUUUGGGAUAACGCCCGGAAAUGGGUGCUAAUACUGGAUAUUCACUGGUCUUCGCAUGGGGGUUGGUGGAAAGGGUUUUUCUGGUGGGGGAUGGGCUCGCGGCCUAUCAGCUUGUUGGUGGGGUGAUGGCCUACCAAGGCUUUGACGGGUAGCCGGCCUGAGAGGGUGACCGGUCACAUUGGGACUGAGAUACGGCCCAGACUCCUACGGGAGGCAGCAGUGGGGAAUAUUGCACAAUGGGCGCAAGCCUGAUGCAGCGACGCCGCGUGAGGGAUGGAGGCCUUCGGGUUGUGAACCUCUUUCGCUCAUGGUCAAGCCGCAACAAUGGUUGUGGUGAGGGUAGUGGGUAAAGAAGCGCCGGCUAACUACGUG